AGUGGCGAACGGGUGAGUAACACGUAGGUAACUUACCUCUAAGACGAGGAUAACGACUGGAAACGGUCGCUAAAACUGGAUAGGAUAACGGGUGGCAUCACCUGUUAUUUAAAAGGGCUUAACAGCCAUACUUAGAGAAAGGCCUGCGGCGCAUUAGCUAGUUGGUGAGGUAGAGGCUCACCAAGGCGAUGAUGCGUAGCCGGACUGAGAGGUCGAACGGCCACAUUGGGACUGAGACACGGCCCAAACUCCUACGGGAGGCAGCAGUAGGGAAUUUUCGGCAAUGGGGGAAACCCUGACCGAGCAACGCCGCGUGAAUGAAGAAGUAUUUCGGUAUGUAAAGUUCUUUUAUUAAGGAAGAAUGUGUUUUAUAGGAAAUGAUAGAACAGUGACGGUACUUAAUGAAUAAGCCCCGGCUAACUAUGUGCCAGCAGCCGCGGUAAUACAUAGGGGGCAAGCGUUAUCCGGAAUUAUUGGGCGUAAAGGGUGCGUAGGCGGUCUAUUAAGUCUAAGGUGUAAGUGCAAGGCUCAACCUUGUGAUGCUUUAGAAACUGGUAGACUAGAGAUAGAUAGAGGCAAGUGGAAUUCCAUGUGUAGCGGUAAAAUGCGUAAAUAU
Molecule: ribosomal RNA, 616 nt
Filed under: uncultured bacterium
Lineage: Bacteria
Description: bacterial SSU rRNA
Rfam family: Bacterial small subunit ribosomal RNA
Source: RNAcentral